This 264-nucleotide ribosomal RNA is filed under the name uncultured bacterium. RNAcentral's name for it is "partial 16S ribosomal RNA". It matches the Rfam family "Bacterial small subunit ribosomal RNA", at positions 90 to 354 of the family's 1533-position model. The record is from RNAcentral.
CAUGAGUGGCGGACGGGUGAGUAACGCGUGGGUAACCUGCCUUACACAGGGGGAUAACACCUGGAAACAGGUGCUAAUACCGCAUAAGCGCACAGGGCCGCAUGGCCCGGUGUGAAAAACUCCGGUGGUGUAAGAUGGACCCGCGUCUGAUUAGCUUGUUGGCGGGGUAGGGGCCCACCAAGGCGACGAUCAGUAGCCGGCCUGAGAGGGUGGACGGCCACAUUGGGACUGAGACACGGCCCAAACUCCUACGGAAGGCAGCAG